This 368-nucleotide ribosomal RNA is filed under the name Legionella pneumophila. RNAcentral describes it as "bacterial SSU rRNA". It matches the Rfam family "Bacterial small subunit ribosomal RNA", at positions 1149 to 1516 of the family's 1533-position model. The record is from RNAcentral. Lineage: Bacteria; Pseudomonadati; Pseudomonadota; Gammaproteobacteria; Legionellales; Legionellaceae.
CUGCCGGUGACAAACCGGAGGAAGGCGGGGAUGACGUCAAGUCAUCAUGGCCCUUACGGGUAGGGCUACACACGUGCUACAAUGGCCGAUACAGAGGGCGGCGAAGGGGCGACCUGGAGCAAAUCCUUAAAAGUCGGUCGUAGUCCGGAUUGGAGUCUGCAACUCGACUCCAUGAAGUCGGAAUCGCUAGUAAUCGCGAAUCAGCAUGUCGCGGUGAAUACGUUCCCGGGCCUUGUACACACCGCCCGUCACACCAUGGGAGUGGGUUGCACCAGAAGUAGAUAGUCUAACCUUCGGGGGGACGUUUACCACGGUGUGGUUCAUGACUGGGGUGAAGUCGUAACAAGGUAGCCGUAGGGGAACCUGCG